This 93-nucleotide small nuclear RNA is filed under the name Castor canadensis (American beaver). The record is from RNAcentral. Lineage: Eukaryota; Metazoa; Chordata; Mammalia; Rodentia; Castoridae.
GAGCCCUCUAUGGCUCAUUUUGGCAAAUUGUGAGGUUUAGCAUGGCCUCUGUAGGAGGAUAACAUGCAGAUUCAUGAGUUAUUCCAUAUUUUA